ACGGUCGAUCGGCUUAGCCGUGGUAGUUUCUCCAGUAUGAUCUCCCUGUGCUUGGUCCCCCGCCCCCAAGACGAUGGGGAACAGAGGGAACGGAUGAAAGGAAGGGCUGAAGGAGGAACCGCGUUGCUAAUACCCAUCGUUACUCUGUGCAGCAGCUGAUGGAGGCGGGUCAGCUCGGGACAAACUGGACAGAGCGUCCCUGUCCCUUCUGCGCGGGCUGCUGGGGACUCCAGGGGCAGAGACAGCUGAUGGGCUCGGGAAAGCAGAUGCCGGUACCAACGUGCAUAACCCAAGAGGAAACACGAGAACGGCUUUCUCUGGACAAGACCCCGACAUUUUGCUGAAUCGACUUUUGGCCCGAGUCAGGGAGCAGCACGAGAAGCGUGGGCACCCCUCUGAGUGCUUCUGGAAAUACUGCGUCUGAAGUGAGGACCACCUACUUGUCAACUCAAAACCAACCGUCUUAGAAAAUUAACAGCAGACACGCUUCAUCUGAAAACAGCCCAGAAGAAACACUAGGCAAAGUCUACCCUGUUCAUUGUCAUUCGGAAAUAAAUCCUCUAUGUUU
Molecule: long non-coding RNA, 568 nt
Organism: Myotis daubentonii (Daubenton's bat)
Lineage: Eukaryota; Metazoa; Chordata; Mammalia; Chiroptera; Vespertilionidae
Gene: UTS2
Exons: 3
Source: RefSeq, a predicted model, not a curated record